Musca domestica (house fly) is the source of this 4239-nucleotide RNA transcript. It is a transcript of the gene named protein cup, with no coding region annotated. NCBI's taxonomy places the organism in Eukaryota, Metazoa, Arthropoda, Insecta, Diptera, Muscidae. The transcript is spliced from 9 exons. The record is from RefSeq and is a predicted model, not a curated record.
AUGCUUGCAUUCGAUCAAGGUCAAUCAUUCCAUUUUGUUUAACUACUGAGUAGUCAAAAACAUAAAUAAUAGUUUUACGUAUUUUACAUUUAUUACCAUUUGAAAGAUAAUAUCAAACCUAAACGUCUUUUCAAUCGUGUUUUUGAAUUUGUUUCAUUUAUGUGCUUAAACUAAUACAUCAUCAUAAUCUACUGAUCCUUAUUUAUAUUUUUUUUUUUGAAAGAAAUCAACGAGCAUGUCUUCUUGUGAAACAAAAGACGCUACAUCAAAAGCUGAGCAAGGUGUGCAAAUUGAGGAAAAUGGCGCUGGCGCCAUCAGAUGCUUCAAAAAUCUGGCAAAAAACGAGAAGGAUAUUAUAGGAGAAGCUUCGAAGUUGGCUUCCAAAAAUUUGGAGAUUAAAGAAGUAAUUUUUACGCCUCCACCUCCACCACCACCAACACCAGUUCAACGUAAACUGAAAGCAAAACAUCCAGUAAAGGCUGACGCGUUAAAUGAACAACUGGACUAUGGAAUUGAUGUAAUUCAGGCGCUGAAUGAUGACCAGUCUAAGGGGAAUAUUACAUGCAUUCCUCCUCCACCUCCUCCAUUGCCAAAAGAACCGGUACAAUAUGCCAUAAGUAAAGUGAGCGACGUAAACUUAGAAGUUAAUCUCAAAAUGGCGAAAUUUAAAUUAAAAGCCAUUGGAAAUAAUGUUGAGCCAAUGCAGAAAAAUGUUUCGGACGUGAAACAAAAUAAAACUAUGGUUCUGAUGGAAUUUCCAAAGAAGACGUAUAUAGAUGAAAUAAUAAAAAUGGCAGAACGUAAUAUUCGCGUUCAGAAGUUAAAGGAAAAACAAAUGAUUACUAGACCAUCCGUAAUAUCUGUUGCUAUACCAUUGCCUCCGCCAACGAGCAUCUCCACGAAGAAUAAACUAGAGAAAUUACCGAUGACGAUAAAUGACGGCGAAAUCGAGUGUUGUAGUGAACUUGCAAAGAAACCUCUGCAACAACAAACUUGUGCCCUUCACCAUCAUCAUCACGAUCACCACAACGAGGAGGAUGUAUUGUCCUUACAAGUUUUGUCAGCACGUUCGUCCACGCCCUACACUCAACCGAUGUCAUGCACAGCUGCCAGCUGCGACCUAGAGAAUGUUGCUGAACAUGUAAGUCCUGUUAAGGACAGUGAGGGCAACGUUCCCAAACAGAACAUUAGAGAAAUUCGAGAUGCCUAUAAAGUAAAGAAAAUUCCACUGAUACCAUCGAAAUCGUCAUUGCCAUUAACAAGUAACUUAUGCAAAAAACAUUCCAGAACUAAAUCGUCUGCGAAUGCUACAGGAAUACGCUAUACUCGAGCUAACCUCCUUCUCAUUCGCAACGAGAUAUUGGCUCUAGCCAAAUCAAAACAAAAUCAAGUCCCAUCUCAUGGUCCACCUAAUAUGGUCAAUUGUGAUGUUAUUGAAUUGGAAGCCCGUCUAAAACGACUUGCUAUUUGGAAGGAUGGUGAUAAUGAUUCCCCAUCUGCGAUGUAUGGAACCAGUCAAAAUCAUAGCAACAUGAAAUCUCGUUGUAACGAUAUGAUGCCGGCGUUUGUCAAACGUAAAUUUAUGGACGAAUCUAUUAUUAGAAGUCAACCACCACAACCUGUAGAGUUUAAGGAUCCAGCUAUAAUAACCAAUCAGAGGCGAAUCGGUAGCGGGCGCAUACAGCAUCCUAAAUGGUCCUCCAAUUUUUCUCAUCAACAUCAGCAAGAUAAUAAUCAUCAUCAAUCGAAAUCUUUUGGUGGUGGCUUUCAAGAUCUGGAUACUCAAAAUAACGAAACAGAUAAAAUUACCGGAAAACUUAAGUUGUUGCAAUUCAUGGAUAAUGGAACUAUUAGCAAUCAUGAAGUACAUAACAUCCAUCAUUCGACAGUAUCAAAUAGUAUUGGUACCGUAAUGAAACAGGACGUGAGUGCUAAAGAUCGCACUGAUAUCGGAAAAUCCAAUUAUGUUAAACGUGUUGUGUCGGGCUUCCUAGUUGUGUCGAAUCCCAAGGAUAGAGAAUCUGAGGAUAAAUACGAGCAACAGCAUAAAACUCACAAUGAGGAACCCGAAUGGUUCAGUUGUGGACCAACAUCACGUUUGGAUACAAUUGAGUUGUGCGGUUUCGACGAAGAUGAUGAUCAUCAUUCUGAGAAAAAUAGUAGUCGUCACAGCAAAGAGACGGUUGAUGACGAUGAAUACAAAGAAAAUCAAAUACAACAUGCCAAUAAGAAUGAAUCUAAAGCAAAUCGAAUGCGUAAAUUGUCGUCGAAAAGUGAUGCCAACAACAACAUCCAGCCGCAUCAAAAGGACAUACAUAUAGUUGAGACAACAAAGCCACAUCAAAAUGAGAAAAAAUCCCUACCAUUUCAAUAUGAUCAUUUUUCGGGAAACAAUAACAAAGCCCGUUCCCACAAUUCUUCGAACCAUCCUAAUCGCAAUGUAAACGAUACUGCUGGCAACAAUUUUCAAUAUCAUAACCAUAAUGGAAGUUCACGCUUUUUACAAUUCUUUACUGGCUGCUCUUCGAGCAACAACUCGAAUGAAAAAUUGGAGAAAAACGGUUCUUCGGCUUCGCUAAAUGAGUUCUUUAAGCAUGCGAUGAAUUCUCAGAGCAAAACGGAUCCGCUGCAUUUGCUAAUGCCCCAGCAACAGAACAUUGCUCCCACCAAUGCUGGCUGUUCGAAUGGAAAUAUAAACAUUGCUGAAAUGACUUCAGUCGAUGAAUUGGAAGCCAAAUGGCGACAAAAUUCCUCGAACAUAAAAAACAACGAAAGUUUUUCACCCAAUGAUGCCAACAACAACAAUUUGCAACAGCAACAGAAACAAACGCCUGGAAUUGCAAUAACGCCGAGUCCCCUGCAGUCGACAUACAAUAAGCAGAAUGCAUUUCUACAGCAGCAACAGGCUGCUCUAAUUGCGAAUUUGCAGCUUAAAGCUGUUUUGGGCCGUCCAGAAGCUCAGAUGUUGUUAUUGGGAUUAGCUAAGGGUGAAAUAUCGAAGCAUGGAUUGCUAAUACAAUUGGCCAAUCCUAGGUUGCCACAAAGAGACCGGGAAGCUAUAACCGCUGUUCUAACUUUCACGUCUGCGCAGCAACAACAGCAACAACAAUAUGAUGUGCUGUCGAAUAAUUUAUUAAUGAACCAGCUACAAAAUCUUCAAAAUUUGGCAAUAGUACAGCAGACGCUUGCAGCUCAACAGCAGCACCAGCAAAUGCAUGCCCCCGGAAAACGAACAUCAACCAUACAACCCAUGAGUCAAGAAGAAUUACAAACCCAUGCCAACUUGAUUAUGCAGAAUGCAUUAAUAAAACGAAAACUUGAGGAACAGACCAAUGUCCUAGGCUUACAGAAAAUUCUUCAGCUAAACGCUGCUGCUCAGGUGGCAAAACAGCAACUGCCCCUGAAUAGAGGCUGUAAUCCGCCUCUAAAUCAAAGUAAUGUCAAUACUUCUCGUAAUAGUACUGGAAAUCGACGUUUGCAAGCAUUACAAAACCUUUUUAAUGACUCGAAUGGUAUGGUUGAUAACAUUCAACAGCAACAACACCAUAACAUGUCUACAAUUGGCGGCAAUGGCGGUGGCAAUACAACUUAUCGCUAUAAUCGUAACCACAACAACAAUCAGAGUGGUAGGCGUUCCUCUGUUGCUUCCUCUGGGCAACACAUAAAAUUUGACCCUGAUGUGGAUUCCAAUCAACAACAUACAAAAGUCGCGGAUCACCAUAGUCACUAUCCACCGUCACACGGAGUACAAAAUAUGCAUUUGCAAAAUGCUAAACCAAAUAAGAUACACAUUUCUCAACAGCCAGCCGCAAUAAUAACUGGAGGAGGAAGUGUGUCGAUUGGCUUCAAUUGUGUGAUCAGGAUUUUUUUUCCUUUUUUUCGUUCAUUUGUACCCCUAAAUAUUUUGCGAUAAUUUCCAAAAGCAAGAGGCCCCUCUGUUUCUCAUCUAUAUGAAUUGCUUGUCUACGAUAUUUGGCUAUAUUUGUAAACGAAAUCAGCAUAUCAGUGUAUUUCGGAUAUAACCUAUGAGUAUCAUUAACAAUUUGAAACAAUUCUCCACAUCUUCGACUGGAAUGAUGGCUAUCGGAAUAUUUUCUACAUUGAUUUUAUCCGUAAGCUAUCGAGUAUUUAUGAAACCAAAACUUGAUAGAAAUCGUCGACAAGAAGCUGAACUAGUGGCGGACUACAUUUUCCAACAUGAAGUACAAAAAUAAUCACCAGAAAGAGGAAUCUUUUAAU